RNAcentral lists this long non-coding RNA (2904 nucleotides) under Homo sapiens (human). RNAcentral describes it as "HSALNT0270266". Lineage: Eukaryota; Metazoa; Chordata; Mammalia; Primates; Hominidae. The record is from RNAcentral.
CCCUGCCUCAACCUCUGUCGACCUCUGCGCGGAGUCCCCCACGCUCUUCACAGGGAGAGAGAAGUGAGCGGGCUGUGAACCUGCACAGGCAACAAGACAGGAUUUUGGCCAAACCCGCUUGACAGGUUUUCGAUUCUCCCAGCCAGGAGCAGAAAGGAGGCAGAGACUGCCCUGAGCCGCCAGGCGGGUUCUGCCAUCUCGCAGAAAGUGGCCGGACAGGUUGGGUCUGAAGCCACAUAGAGUUGGGAUUGUUUCCUCAUAAUCACUGUGAGGCUGGGCUGCAGGAGCCAAGCUGGUUAGCACUGAGAAUCCAGUUUGGUGCCUGUGACACGGAGGGCCCGGGCGGGGAAGGGUGGGGGGCUUGCAGGGGUGCCUGGGUCGGGGGCUGCAGGUGGGAGUGAGCAAAUGUGCUGUCUCGCCACCUCGGGACAGGUGGUAGGGCCUCUGACACAGAGUGGUCCUUCCUGCUGUUCACAGCUCAGCUCACCGUGGGCUGACCAUAGGUAGGUGACAGUCCCCUUUCUGGCCUCGGUUUCCCUGUCUGUAAAUUGGGGAUAAUAAGCUCAAGAGCUGUCCCUGCCAGAACCCAGUGGACAGAAAUCCAGCAGCUGCUAUGGGAAGCGACCCGCCCAGCCUGCCCCGCCCUGCCUGGGGAAGCAGGCCUUCUGCUUGAGGGGGACUGGGCGCAUGCUGGGCCUCUGGUCUGCGCAGUCUGCCCGGGGUCUGUGAGUGCUUGUGAGUGGGCUUCUCCAGUCUCCAGGUAGGCUGGGUGCCCCCGGCCAGGUGGAGCCCAGGGGGGCAAAUAGGCUGGGGGCUGGCCUGGCCCCGGGUGGCACGGCCCAGGUGCUGGAGCAGCCUCACACUGUGGUCUCGUGUGUGUUCCCUGGACAGCAACACUGUGGCUGCGGGGUACAGCCCUGACCCCCUCAUGCCUUGCCCCCUGUGUCCUACCCACGACCCCUCCCCACUCCCUCCUCCCCGCCUCCACCUCCGCCUCUGCCUCAUCCUCAGCCUGUCUUAGCUCUGCACGGAAGCAGAGCGGGGGUUCCCGAGUCCUUGGGGCCAUGAUCCCCAGCGCACCCGAGUACCCCAGGAAUGCACGGGGCUCAGAGGAGGAAGCCUGGGAGCCUGGCCUGUAGCCGCUGCCGCGAGGGGAGGACGGACUUCCUGCUCCCUGGCAGGGCCCCUGCUGGUGGCUGGUGGCCAGCUCUGGGUUUGGGAUGAGGGCUGGGUCAUCUCUGGCCCCACGAUGCCCUCCCACUCAGGACCAGGCUCUUGGGAGGGGGUUGUGGUCAGCAUGGGCCACUCCAGCUCUGGCUGGCCUGGGAACUUCGUGGAGGCCCCUCCUCCGGCCACCUCCCUGUUCCUGGCUGGGCCCUUUGUGAGUGGGGUCUGCUUGCUGCUGGCGUGUGUUUUGUGUGUGCCUGUGUGGGGACUGUGUGCACGUGUGUGUGUGUGUGUGUGUGGGGAUACGAAUGUGUGUGCAUGUCUUACAUGUGUGUGCCUGUGUGUGCAUGUGUUGCACGUGUGUGUGUGCACAUGUGUGCGUGGACAUGUGUAGCUGCUUUGUGCUGUGGUCUGGAUGUUUUUUGUGUCUACCCCAGAUUCUCGUUGAAAUCCUAACGCCCCAGGCAAUGAUGUUAGGAGGCGGGGCUUCUGGGAGAUGGCAAGUUCGUGAGGCUGCAGCUCUGCUGGGGGAUCAGUGUCCUUCUACAAGCGGCUCCAGGGAGGUCCCUUGCCCCUUCCACCAUGUGAGGACCCGAGAUGGUGCCGUCUAUGAACCGGGAAGUGAGUCCUCUCCGGACGUGGAACAAGUUGGUGCCUUGAUUUUGAACUUGCAGCCUCCAGCUGCUGUCUAACACCACCGGCUCGACCUUGAGUUCCUCCCUGAGCAAAGCCAAGCGACCUCCUGGACUGAGCCAGUUUUCGUGCCUGCCUGCCCUGGCUCAUUGGCCAGGGACCCCACCCCGCCAUGUCCAGGCCUUGGUGAUACAGGACAGAGGUGCCCGUGCAGGUUGUGCCUGUGGCUGGGUCCCCAGGGAGAAGGUGGCAACCCCAGGCCAGCAGCCUCCUACCCUGAACUCCAGGCAACAUCGUCGGCCCCCUGGCACUGCACCUGCACUGUGGGCAGAGAAGGAGGGAAGGCUGGGAGAGGAGGAGGAGGUCGAAUGUCGCUGGAGGUCGGCGUCCUUCUGCAGCCGUGGGUGAGCCGCUGCUUGGGGUGAGCAUGCUUCCUGCUGGAUGCUUCUCUAUGUAAGCACCUGCCUGAGUGUCAGCCCUCUUAAGGUGAACCGCUCCGUGUCAUUCGUACAUUCACAAGUUUGUGCCGCCAUCAUCGUGAUCGGAUUCCAAAACAUUUUCAUCACCUCCAAGAAAGCCUUGUACCUGGCAGCAGUCACUGUCUCUAUGGAUUUGCUUAUUCUGGACAUUUCAUAAAAAUAGAAUCAAACAGCAUUUGGCUCUUCGUGUCUGGCCUGUUUCUCUGAGCACGAUAUUUCGAAGAUUCAGCUGGGUCUCGCUCCUGUUCCUGGCUGAAGCUGAAUAAUAUUCCAGUGCACGGCUGGACCACAGUCAUCAACUGACGGACACUUGGUGGUCUCACAUUUCCACUGGUGUGAAUAGUCCUGCUGUGAACAUGCGUGUGCGAGAUUUUGGUUGAACACUUGUCCUCAGUCCUCUUGGGGCAGUGCCAGCCUUGGCAGACGGGCCGGACAGAGGAGGGAUGAUGGCUCAGGCUGGCAGGGGCUGCCACGGGGCAGCGAUGGCCACCUCGAGCCUGGCCAGUGCUUCUGGACUUCCUCUCUGCUGACUUUGUUCCCUGGCUAGAAACAGUUGUGGCAGCGCUCCCAGACCGGGCGUCUGCACGGAGUGGCCUCAGCUUCCUUGAGCUGUGGGAAUUUAACG